GACGAACGCUGGCGGCGUGCUUAACACAUGCAAGUCGAACGGAAAGGCCCUGCUUUUGUGGGGUGCUCGAGUGGCGAACGGGUGAGUAACACGUGAGUAACCUGCCCUUGACUUUGGGAUAACCUCAGGAAACUGGGGCUAAUACCGGAUAGGAGCUCCUGCUGCAUGGUGGGGGUUGGAAAGUUUCGGCGGUUGGGGAUGGACUCGCGGCUUAUCAGCUUGUUGGUGGGGUAGUGGCUUACCAAGGCUUUGACGGGUAGCCGGCCUGAGAGGGUGACCGGCCACAUUGGGACUGAGAUACGGCCCAGACUCCUACGGGAGGCAGCAGUGGGGAAUAUUGCACAAUGGGCGGAAGCCUGAUGCAGCAACGCCGCGUGCGGGAUGACCGCCUUCGGGUUGUGAACCGCUUUCGCCUGUGACGAAGCGUGAGUGACGGUAAUGGGUAAAGAAGCACCGGCUAACUACGUG
Molecule: ribosomal RNA, 468 nt
Filed under: uncultured bacterium
Lineage: Bacteria
Description: partial 16S ribosomal RNA
Rfam family: Bacterial small subunit ribosomal RNA
Source: RNAcentral